Molecule: ribosomal RNA, 135 nt
Filed under: uncultured bacterium
Lineage: Bacteria
Description: partial 16S ribosomal RNA
Rfam family: Bacterial small subunit ribosomal RNA
Source: RNAcentral
UGGGGAAUAUUGGACAAUGGGCGAAAGCCUGAUCCAGCCAUGCCGCGUGAGUGAUGAAGGCCUUAGGGUUGUAAAGCUCUUUUGUCCGGGAAGAUAAUGACUGUACCGGAAGAAUAAGCCCCGGCUAACUUCGUG